RNAcentral lists this ribosomal RNA (507 nucleotides) under uncultured bacterium. RNAcentral's name for it is "bacterial SSU rRNA". It matches the Rfam family "Bacterial small subunit ribosomal RNA", at positions 28 to 527 of the family's 1533-position model. The record is from RNAcentral.
GAUGAACGCUGGCGGCGUGGAUUAGGCAUGCAAGUCGAACGGUAUCAUCCUUUCGGGGGUGAGAGAGUGGCGAACUGGUGAGUAACACGUAGGUUAUCUACCCUCAAGACGGGGACAACCCAGGGAAACUUGGGCUAAUACCGGAUGUGAGCAACUUUUAGUUGUUUGAAAGGUGGCGUAAGCUGUCGCUUGGGGAUGAGCCUGCGUCCUAUUAGUUAGUUGGUGAGGUAACGGCUCACCUAGGCAAUGAUAGGUAGGCGGCCUUAACGGGUGGUCGCCCACACUGGGAUUGAGAUACGGCCCAGACUCCUACGGGAGGCAGCAGUCGAGAAUAGUCUACAAUGGUCGGAAGACUGAUAGUGCGACGCCGCGUGAACGAUGAAUCCCUUCGGGGUGUAAAGUUCUUUUAUAUGUGAGCAGUGCUUCUUAUAUUAACAGUAUGGGGAGAGAGAUAUUAGCAUAUGAAUAAGCAACGGCUAACUCCGUGCCAGCAGCCGCGGUAAAACG